RNAcentral lists this ribosomal RNA (945 nucleotides) under Salmonella enterica. RNAcentral describes it as "partial 23S ribosomal RNA". It matches the Rfam family "Bacterial large subunit ribosomal RNA", at positions 1 to 878 of the family's 2925-position model. The record is from RNAcentral. Lineage: Bacteria; Pseudomonadati; Pseudomonadota; Gammaproteobacteria; Enterobacterales; Enterobacteriaceae.
GGGUUGUGAGGUUAAGCGACUAAGCGUACACGGUGGAUGCCCUGGCAGUCAGAGGCGAUGAAGGACGUGCUAAUCUGCGAUAAGCGCCGGUAAGGUGAUAUGAACCGUUAUAACCGGCGAUUUCCGAAUGGGGAAACCCAGUGUGAUUCGUCACACUAUCAUUAACUGAAUCCAUAGGUUAAUGAGGCGAACCGGGGGAACUGAAACAUCUAAGUACCCCGAGGAAAAGAAAUCAACCGAGAUUCCCCCAGUAGCGGCGAGCGAACGGGGAGGAGCCCAGAGCCUGAAUCAGCAUGUGUGUUAGUGGAAGCGUCUGGAAAGACGCGCGAUACAGGGUGACAGCCCCGUACACAAAAGCGCAUGUGCUGUGAGCUCGAUGAGUAGGGCGGGACACGUGGUAUCCUGUCUGAAUAUGGGGGGACCAUCCUCCAAGGCUAAAUACUCCUGACUGACCGAUAGUGAACCAGUACCGUGAGGGAAAGGCGAAAAGAACCCCGGCGAGGGGAGUGAAAAAGAACCUGAAACCGUGUACGUACAAGCAGUGGGAGCCCCACCACUAAGCCAGUGGUGAACUCCACAUACGCAUCCUUUGCUGAGGAUACGGUUAACGGAGCGAAAGCGACGUUCAACCUCAAAAGAAGCAGAGGGGGCUUAGUGGUGGGGUGACUGCGUACCUUUUGUAUAAUGGGUCAGCGACUUAUAUUCUGUAGCAAGGUUAACCGAAUAGGGGAGCCGGAGGGAAACCGAGUCUUAACCGGGCGUUAAGUUGCAGGGUAUAGACCCGAAACCCGGUGAUCUAGCCAUGGGCAGGUUGAAGGUUGGGUAACACUAACUGGAGGACCGAACCGACUAAUGUUGAAAAAUUAGCGGAUGACCUGUGGCUGGGGGUGAAAGGCCAAUCAAACCGGGAGAUAGCUGGUUCUCCCCGAAAGCUAUUUAGGUAGC